AUUGGACGCUGGCGGCAGGCCUAACACAUGCAAGUCGAACGGUAGCACAGAGAGCUUGCUCUCGGGUGACGAGUGGCGGACGGGUGAGUAAUGUCUGGGAAACUGCCCGAUGGAGGGGGAUAACUACUGGAAACGGUAGCUAAUACCCCAUAACGUCGCAAGACCAAAGUGGGGGACCUUCGGGCCUCACACCAUCGGAUGUGCCCAGAUGGGAUUAGCUAGUAGGUGGGGUAAUGGCUCACCUAGGCGACGAUCCCUAGCUGGUCUGAGAGGAUGACCAGCCACACUGGAACUGAGACACGGUCCAGACUCCUACGGGAGGCAGCAGUGGGGAAUAUUGCACAAUGGGCGCAAGCCUGAUGCAGCCAUGCCGCGUGUAUGAAGAAGGCCUUCGGGUUGUAAAGUACUUUCAGCGGGGAGGAAGGCGGUGAAGUUAAUAGCUUCACCGAUUGACGUUACCCGCAGAAGAAGCACCGGCUAACUCCGUGCCAGCCGCCGCGGUAA
This 504-nucleotide ribosomal RNA is filed under the name uncultured bacterium. RNAcentral describes it as "partial 16S ribosomal RNA". It matches the Rfam family "Bacterial small subunit ribosomal RNA", at positions 30 to 523 of the family's 1533-position model. The record is from RNAcentral.